CCUACGGGAGGCAGCAGUGAGGAAUAUUGGUCAAUGGACGAGAGUCUGAACCAGCCAAGUAGCGUGAAGGAUGACUGCCCUAUGGGUUGUAAACUUCUUUUAUAAGGGAAUAAAACGAGGCACGUGUGCCGUUUUGCAUGUACUUUAUGAAUAAGGAUCGGCUAAUUCCGUGCCAGCAGCCGCGGUAAUACGGAAGAUCCGAGCGUUAUCCGGAUUUAUUGGGUUUAAAGGGAGCGUAGGUGGGUUGUUAAGUCAGUGGUUAAAGUUUGCGGCUCAACCGUAAAAUUGCCAUUGAUACUGGGAGUCUUGAGUACAGUUGAGGUAGACGGAAUUCGUGGUGUAGCGGUGAAAUGCUUAGAUAUCACGAAGAACCCCGAUUGCGAAGGCAGCUUACCAGACUAUGACUGACAUUGAUGCUCGAAAGUGUGGGUAUCAAACAGGAUUAGAUACCCUUGUAGUC
Molecule: ribosomal RNA, 460 nt
Filed under: uncultured bacterium
Lineage: Bacteria
Description: partial 16S ribosomal RNA
Rfam family: Bacterial small subunit ribosomal RNA
Source: RNAcentral